This 254-nucleotide ribosomal RNA is filed under the name uncultured bacterium. RNAcentral describes it as "partial 16S ribosomal RNA". It matches the Rfam family "Bacterial small subunit ribosomal RNA", at positions 524 to 776 of the family's 1533-position model. The record is from RNAcentral.
UACGUAGGGUGCAAGCGUUAAUCGGAAUUACUGGGCGUAAAGCGUGCGCAGGCGGUUUUGUAAGUCUGUCGUGAAAUCCCCCGGGCUCAACCUGGGAAUUGCGAUGGAGACUGCAAGGCUGGAAUCUGGCAGAGGGGGGUAGAAUUCCACGUGUAGCAGUGAAAUGCGUAGAGAUGUGGAGGAACACCGAUGGCGAAGGCAGCCCCCUGGGUCAAGAUUGACGCUCAUGCACGAAAGCGUGGGGAGCAAACAGG